UACGGAGGAUCCAAGCGUUAUCCGGAUUUAUUGGGUUUAAAGGGUGCGUAGGCGGUUUUAUAAGUUAGAGGUGAAAUCUCGGGGCUCAACUCCGAAAUUGCCUCUAAUACUGUAGGACUAGAGAGUAGUUGCGGUAGGCGGAAUGUAUGGUGUAGCGGUGAAAUGCAUAGAUAUCAGGAGGAACACCGGUGGCGAAGGCGGCCUGCUGGACUGUAACUGACACUGAGGCUCGAAAGCGUGGGGAGCAAACAGG
Molecule: ribosomal RNA, 253 nt
Filed under: uncultured Rikenellaceae bacterium
Lineage: Bacteria; Pseudomonadati; Bacteroidota; Bacteroidia; Bacteroidales; Rikenellaceae
Description: partial 16S ribosomal RNA
Rfam family: Bacterial small subunit ribosomal RNA
Source: RNAcentral